GAUGAACGCUAGCUACAGGCUUAACACAUGCAAGUCGAGGGGAAACGCCAUCGAAAGCUUGCUUUUGAUGGGCGUCGACCGGCGCACGGGUGAGUAACGCGUAUCCAACCUGCCCAUCACUUGGGAAUAACCUUGCGAAAGUAAGACUAAUACCCAAUGAUAUCCCACGAAGGCAUCGGAAUGGGAUUAAAGAUUUAUCGGUGAUGGAUGGGGAUGCGUCUGAUUAGCUUGUUGGCGGGGUAACGGCCCACCAAGGCAACGAUCAGUAGGGGUUCUGAGAGGAAGGUCCCCCACAUUGGAACUGAGACACGGGCCAAACUCCUACGGGAGGCAGCAGUGAGGAAUAUUGGUCAAUGGGCGAGAGCCUGAACCAGCCAAGUAGCGUGCAGGAAGACGGCCCUAUGGGUUGUAAACUGCUUUUAUAAGGGAAUAAAGUGGGUCACGUGUGACUUUUUGCAUGUACCGUAGGAAUAAGGACCGGCUAAUUCCGU
Molecule: ribosomal RNA, 491 nt
Filed under: uncultured bacterium
Lineage: Bacteria
Description: partial 16S ribosomal RNA
Rfam family: Bacterial small subunit ribosomal RNA
Source: RNAcentral